RNAcentral lists this ribosomal RNA (253 nucleotides) under uncultured bacterium. Its description in RNAcentral is "partial 16S ribosomal RNA". It matches the Rfam family "Bacterial small subunit ribosomal RNA", at positions 524 to 776 of the family's 1533-position model. The record is from RNAcentral.
UACGUAGGUGGCAAGCGUUGUCCGGAUUUACUGGGCGUAAAGAGCGCGCAGGCGGUCGUUCAAGUCGCGUGUGAAAGCCCCCGGCUCAACUGGGGAGGGUCACGCGAUACUGAUCGACUCGAAGGCAGGAGAGGGAAAUGGAAUCCCCGGUGUAGUGGUGAAAUGCGUAGAUAUCGGGAGGAACACCAGUGGCGAAGGCGACUUCCUGGCCUGUUCUUGACGCUGAGGCGCGAAAGCUAGGGGAGCAAACGGG